CUCCUGAACAACAAACUAAUGAAUAAAUGCAUUAGUAUUGUUUUUAUCAAGUCGUCUUAUAUUGUCAUUUGUCACUUAUGCUACAAGCCCCAUAUUCGCAACAUGUUGGGCUACGCCCCCAUCAACAGCGCAAGACACAAACCAACGUGCCUGCAUUCUGACAGCGCUUCAAUGGAGACUAGCAGCUAACCACUGGAAUCCAGUGACAAUCAAGUGCCACCCCAAAUAAAAGACUGGCCAGAGCUGGCCCCCCCAGAAAUAAUGUCCUGGCUACGCUCCUGCCUAAAAGGAACAUGAACAUCAAAAGAUCUGAAACUUGAGUCCACUUCCACCAAACACGGAACAUGGUUAGAACCAUUGCGUUAAUCUGCUGAAAUGAUCCUUACGUAUGAAAACGGUCUUUCUAUUGGUGUCAAAAAGCUGCCAAAACAUGAUUACGCCGUGAUGUUUCCUUUUUUAAUGAAGCCACCUUUUGGCGGGUCGUGAUGUCAGGAAAUUACUCUGCGACUCACGAUUCAACUCAAUUAACGUUAGCCUGUUUAUCAACAGCACCGGCAAUCUGGUUAAUAUCCUAGAGGGGUAUGUUAAGAUAAAUGUGAAUAAAUGUUGCUGUUGAAUAUAAACAAGAACAAAACCUAUAUUGUAAUUCUUUUCUGGCAGUUGGGUUGAGACCGCAUUUGGACAUUCCUCAAGCUGCUGACGUUAACGUGAGGUAAUGAUGGUCCGUGCUACCUGUAAAUAAGAGUCCUAUUACCCCAAAAUCCUGUGCCUUUGGCUUUGCUAAAGAACAGGUAUUGAUAAAAGAUCAACUAUUCAUUGCUUCAGGUACUUACUUUGCCAGCAUGGACCCAGCUAUCCAAACUCCCUGUAGAAAUGUGAAGUAAAGUGGACUAAAGAUGUAAUAUUGAGGGGGAAGAGGACAUGGAGGCAGUAAAGAAGAAACCAGACAGGAGAGAUGGGAGUCUCUGGAGCUCAGCUCAGAAAGACAAACCGAGAUUAAAUUUCAAACAUUACUAUUCAAUCAACAUUAUUUGUCCCAAGGCAGCUAUAACUGCAGGUAUGCAUUUAAAAGGCAUAAAAACAUCCAGAAGAUAAUAUACACUCUAAAGGUCAGGAGCUGCUCUAGAUAGCGUGCUACACCCACACUAUAUCAUGUCUGAGAUACAAGACGUAUGAGCACAUAAAUGGUGACAGAGGACUGGACUGACGAUGAAAGAAAAGACAAAGAGAGCGAGGCGACUGAACGAGACUUGGCAAAAUUGGGAAGAUUGACAAAGGGGGGAGAGGCUUUGCAAAAAAAGAAGAGUACUUAGCAAAAGGAGACAGGAAAAUGCUUGUAAAGAGGAUGGAACGAUAAAAGAAAGCUGAUAAAAGGGGAGAAAUAUGCUUUAGCUGGAGCCUGUGCGAGUGAGAAAUUAUCUAAAAUGAUAUAAAAGAGCUUUAUGCACGCUUGCAUAAAGGAAAGAACACGCUUAAUGUGUGCUAUGCACUUUCCUCCCCGAAAGAAAAAAACCUUUUCCUUAAACGGCCGUCUCCUCUAUCGUUUCCUUCCAAGCUGCAAAUAUCAUAAAAGGCUUACGUGUGAUCAUAUGUCAGAAUAUGCAUGUGUCUGUGAGCGCGAGCAUGUAAAGUGUUGAACUAAGUGAAGUUUUGCUAUAAGCGCUCUGACAGUGAAGUGGCGUAAUGUGUUUCAGUCUAUAUCCAAUACCAACCUAAUUCAACCUAUUCAGGCUUAGCGGCUUCCAGCCAGCGCCAGCAGUGCUCCCACGCGCAGAAACAGGCCGCGGAGAGCGGGUUCCUCUUUCUGGUUCCACAUGUUUCUGUUCAACCAAAGUCAACACGCGUUUGAAUUUACUAGCGAGGAGUUGUCACCCUUAACCUGCACACUCGACCCCCCCCACCCCCCAAAAAAAGAGACAUUUUUCUAAUAAACUGCCAGAAAAGACUCACUGGAGACCACUUCUUGAAGGGCUAUCCAUUCCCAUGACGGCAUUUCUUUUGGCGUCACAAGAUAGUAAAAACACGGUCCACUCACACAAGCGUGCGUCGACGCGGCAUAACAAUCCAAAUUUAUGUUUUAAUUUGUGCUGCACGCAGGGCCAAAGUGAAUCUCUCUCUGACGUCAUCACGCGUACAUAAAUAAAUAUGGCCGAGUCCGGCUGCACCGACUGGAUACAGUGCCGUGUGCCGUUUGCAAGGCAAGCCUGUCGUGGUGGUGAGGCUGCAGCCGUCUCACCUUGCAUAUCUUUUAUCUUUACAGACUAUGCAAGGGGCUCACACACAGGCUUCCCAGAGUCCACGAGGUUCAGAGCCGCCGCGUGAGCUCGCCUUCUCAAAGGGUAUCUGCUCUUCUCAAUUAUGAAAAAAAGCACAAAAACAAGCAGGCAUUGAAAAUGCAUUUUUUUUCUUCUCUGAAGUCUGGGCAUCAUGAGAGUUAAAAAAAAUUCAAUGUAAACAAAAUUCAAUUCCACCCCUUUCCACCUUAAAACAGCCUAUCCUCAUACAACUUGCAUCUGCUUGAAGAUGCCGGCUAAGAUGUGGAAGGCGAAUCUUAUCUCAUAAAUAUUGAUGUUACUCUCUGAAGGUGGGCAAACUCUAUUCUGUAAAUAAGGUGUAUAUUGAGAUUAGCCAGCGUUUCAUUUUGAUGCGUACAACACGUAUCAAAUGGCUGCCUGUGCCACAAAGGAGCGCAUCACACUGCCAGUGCUUCAACGCGGAGAAUGAAGCAAACACGCGGACUGCGAGACCAAACCUUUCUUCUUCCUGUGCGGCGUCCUUUCGCCCUGAAUGGUGCCAUUACUUGAGUGCAGCCCAGGAUGGUAAAAAUGGAAAGGGAAAUAAAAAAAACACAGAUUGUAUGAGUGGUGAAAGGGCUGAGAGAGGGAGAGAUGAAUUUGCACACAUCUCGCUUUGGCCUUUUUAAGAGGCGGAAGCUGUCUCUGGUUUGUCAUUUAGUGACGAGCGCGUGAACGGAAUAGGGUCGUGACAUUAACAGCACGAAGAGGGAGGCGGAGAAAAGGAGCGGCAAGGGGGGGGGUUAUGGUUGCAGAAGAUGCUGGAAGAAGGAGUAAAAGAUGGAAAAGAGAAAACGGGGAAAAAAAACAAAGGCCGAGAGGAAGAAUAGAGGCUGAUGAGAGACAACAAGGAAAAGUGCAGGACUGAGUCAUCUUUUGAGUGCAGGAACAGGAGGACAAGAGGAAGAAUGAGGUGAUAAACAAAAGCACAGAGGCGAAUGUUGAAUUGUGCUGCUGCUCAUUAUAUUUCAACGCAUGGAUUCUGUCGGGGCGCGCUGGAAGCUGUGCGUCUGCGUGAGCGAGAGAGAUUGCGCAACAGUUUCAUCCAGAGACGCAUGUCAGUUCACUCACUUGUAUUGAACACAUCUGUAUCUGCACAAACGGACAUUUGAUGAUCCCGCAUUGCGUUCAUGUAAGCUGGAGCCCUCAGCCUUUUCAACCAAAUACUGUAACACACACACACACACACACACACAAUCAAAUGAGAGAACACAGCAGGUGUCCCACAGCUGGGCACUGAUGACAGAGAGAGGGAGAGGGCGUUCGACCUGCUGUGCGAACAGGCAGUAUUUCCAUACAAAUCAAUGGACCGUCAUGCUAAGCUCGGGGACACAUCGGGGGACAAGCCGAAGUCACACACACACGAUAAAGUUGUGUGUGACACACACACACACACACUCACCACAUCUGACAUGCGGACACAGGCAACUGCAAUCACCUGCCCUUUACACUAAGAACAUGCGCACACACGGAGCCAGCUGGCUGGAGGUAGCACUAGAGGAUGGGUGAGCAGGCAAGGUUACUUUCACAGUCAUCUGCAGCACUGAUUACCUUUUGUUACUGCUCCUCAUGACUUUGCUCUCUUGCAGAGACUUCUCGGUUGGAAGUUGUUUCUCUCGUAGUCCCGUCUUAUGUGAAACCGCUAGUUAGCUUAGCUGGACGCAAAGACUAAAGAUUUGAAAUCUGUUCAAAAGUGCACUAAUGCCCGUUAUGUUGUGUGCUGGGAUGUUUCAAUUUAACUUUGGACAGAAGUCAAGCUAUGCCUUUUGCGUCGUAUUGAAUGUACAGACAUGUGUUUUAAGUGUCCACAUCUAACGGCAAGAAAGGAAACCAUGUUUUUUUACAAAAUUUUUAGCUACUAUUCAUGAGAAAUCUUAAAUCUGCAUCAUCCAGUGAAGGUUUAGACACAAGUGUGCAAAAUGUCAGCCAGGCCUUAAUGCCAAGCUUCAGUACCCGAUGCUGAUGUGGCUGAAUGGUUGACAUCACAUCUGAAAGUCAUGUUUGGCAUAUAAGUGUGUAAAUAUACAGUACCAGUCAAAAAUGUGGACAAAAUAUGUCUGACUGAUACUGUGUGCAAUAAAUAUACUUAGUAAUGCUGCAUCUUCAUCCUAAUCUCUGAUACCCGCAUGGGUUAAAUAAACAACCCAGAUAUCAUUCACAGUUUAAUUAGUUUCCACAUGUUUGGAUACGUCUUCCUCUUUUACUUUUUCAUCUCCCUCACCCAAAACAUCUUUGCUUGCAUUAGAAGUUGGUGCCACAUAACAUGUUGGGAGCAGAAAUUGGAUACUUUUAUGUUUUGGGCCGAAAAACUGUGAAACGCUUAAUGAAUUUCAGCCCAAAAACAGUCUGAUGGAAAUGGAAAUGCCAAAAAAACGCAUUAUUAGUUUAAAAAAAUACAACCCAUAAUGGUCAAAUCCCAUUGCACGCCAAUUUUAUCUGCCAGCAUCGUCUUUUGUGAUGGGGAACAAGAAUUAAAUAUCGCAUUAGAGAAUGCGUAUUAAGAGGAUAAGAGCAUCCCUACAACACUGACAAAAUUGUCCAGAGAUGAGGAGAGAAAAGGACAAAGGGAGCAUAGAGGAUGGAAAAAGGUUAAAGACGGAGGUUGAAUUACCCUGAGUGCCGGGAUGAACAAAGACGUGGAGGACAGAGCCCGAGCGAGGGCCAUUCAUGGUCUGCUGUUUGGUGAAAUAAAACACAAGGCUGGAGAACGAGUGAGAUGAAGAAUUGAGGGGGGGGGGUGAUCAAACAAGCGGCCGGAGAGGGAAAUGAGAAAGAAAGCGGAGCCAAUUCAUUAUUAGCCCGGGCAGGCUGGACAGCCAGAGACGAGAUGGAUGAAGGGAAGAGAAAUAGAGUUCAGGACAGAGAGAGCGAGAGAGAAAGGGGGGGAGAGAGAGAGAGAUAGGAAAUGCAGACAAACAAGCCAUCAUCUAUCCCAUCCUCUCCCUCCAUUGUUGCUCAGCCCCACUUAAAGGUCGCCACUCCUUACUUCCAACUUCGUCGACAGAGAGACUGAAGGACAACGGAGCGGAGAAGAGAAAAACCCCCAGUGAAGAUUUAUCUAUCGAGAGGGAGGGAAGAGCGGCGGCGGGCGGGCGCUUGAGAAUUCUUGAUCAUUGCCACGGCGACCAGUCACCUGGCAACCGGGUACACAAUUGCUGCGGUAGCCUUGGCGACGGCGUGGUCGCCGUUGGAUGCGCUUAGAGGCAGGCAGGCAGGCAGGCGGGCAGGUAGGCAGAUGGAAGUGGUGGGGAGAGAAGUGUGAGGUGCAGGGCAGGAGGGCGAGAUGGAGCGGUGGGGGUAGGAACAGGAGGAGUGAGGAGGAGGAGCAGGUGUAAACACAGAGCCGGUAUAUCACACCUCAACAAGUGCAGAGGAUCGGCCAAAUGUGUGUAAAGACAUAAUGAGAAAUGUAAUGAGCUACUGACCGGGAGAAUGGCCCACCAUAUGUGACCCUGCAUGAAGGUGUUUGUGUACCCUGUGUGUGUGUGUGUCUUUUCUUUUCUUCCACCCAAGCAUUUUCCUUUUUCAUGUUAAAUGUGUGGCGGCUGUUUUGGCCCUCAUUUGCUCCAGCACUAAUGAUUCUAGUAGCGCUGCAAUGAGUCACAUGUUUGUCCAUAAUGACGCUGACUAAUCAGGACCCGCCUUACUACAUUUUUGUUUCCCUUCACCUGGCCGAACUUUCCGGUGAUUCACAUGUACUUCGGAUGAAAAGGGACAAUGCAUAUUCAUGUGAAACACCCACUUGUGUGAGAAGACAUGGCAUGACGCAACAUCAAUCAAUGAAAACAAACGUGAAUACCUGCGCAUGCAUUCACACUAAAUUGAUCAAAAACACAGUGGAGCAAGACCUCACUAGCACACGCAUACUCUAAAUGAGUCGGUUUAGAAGUGGACAUUCUGCAUGGACGUGAUUUAAUAGUUAACAUUUCAGAUGAGACUGAUUGAGGCUUUGGGGCUCAACAUUGCCAAAAUGUAGUUGUUUUGUGUGUGUGUGUGUGUGUGUGUGUGUGUGUGUGUGUGUGUGUGUACUGUAGUACAGCCUAUAAGCCCAUUAGCCCCAGGUUAAGUGAUUUACAGCUUCAGCUUUAAGCUCCUCCUGCAAUCUCAUCCCCAAUACCCCUGUCUAUCUGCUCCCUCGAUCUGCCUACUUUAUCUGGGAGAUUACACACACACACACACACACACUCUCAUGCACACACACCUGUCACUCUGCGCCUGUAGACACGCUGCCAGACACCACUUGGUAAAGACACAAGCUCGUCGUGUACAGACAACGAAUACAAGACAAGAAAUACACUGAUCGCAAGCGUUGUGCGUGCGCCUUUUGGCUUAUUAGGAGGCGCAGGGUUCCUGGAGCCCAACACAAAGGAGGUGUUUCAUGUGCUCUGUAUGUUUGUUCUCAUUGUGGAUUCCCUUUGAUUACCGGCGUCCUCAUCGAUGCAUCUAAUGUCUCUACGCACUCUGUCACUUUCUAAUGGUGUGUGUGUGUGUUUGAGAGAGAAAGCGAAAUAUGUAAAAGGAAAAAUUGCGUGUGCGUGUGCGUGUGCGCGUGCGUGCGUGCGUG
Gasterosteus aculeatus aculeatus (three-spined stickleback) is the source of this 6858-nucleotide long non-coding RNA. NCBI's taxonomy places the organism in Eukaryota, Metazoa, Chordata, Actinopteri, Perciformes, Gasterosteidae. The record is from Ensembl.